Molecule: long non-coding RNA, 895 nt
Organism: Rosa rugosa (rugosa rose)
Lineage: Eukaryota; Viridiplantae; Streptophyta; Magnoliopsida; Rosales; Rosaceae
Exons: 4
Source: RefSeq, a predicted model, not a curated record
UCAAAAGGCAAUCCCGGUCUUAAAGUUUGGAUUUUUUUUUAUAAAGUUUUUGGCUUCUGGGUUUUAUGAGGUUUUGAAGUGAAAUGGCCCGAAUGGGUAGGAAAGUUUGGAACUUUUUGGGGUGUUAAAUGCCUUUUGCUUUCUGGGUUUUUUAGGUUUUAAUUGGAAAAAGGGUCAGAGAGGUUCUUUGCUUCAGAGAGAGAGAGAGGUGUUUGUUUUCGGUUGUUUGCCCGAUCUCUUCAUAAAGAGUAGAUAAUUGGGAAGCUUCUGGGAAUUGAUAUGAAGGAGGAAGAACGCAGUAUUAAAACCAAUUGAUUGAGGCAUCUCUGGCCGAUUCAUUUUUGCUGACCUUGAUGAGCUAUCUGACAAUGAAGCCAAUGUUCCUGUUGAAGGGGAUGCUGGUGUUGCAAACAUGGAGCAAGAUGUCAAUGGGGACUUGGCAAACUUAAAGACACUUAACUAUGAUGAUCUGGAUAGUGUUUCAAAAUUGCAAAAAUCACAAAGCUUUGCCGAUAUAAUGCAGGUGCUUCAGAUUUUCUACCAAUAAAGAAAAUCAAGAUUUUCUAUAGUCUUGAAGAGGAACAUGAAACUCAUGCUCACCACUCCGACCGCAGUAUCCGAGAAAAUCUGGUAGCCAAGCUCCUAAAAUAUGUUGAGUGGGCAACAUGGGAUUGUGGUUGUUAUAACAUAGGUAAUAUCAGGGAAGGGCUGUUUUGUGACAGGAUAGGGAUUGGCUUACAUUGCUGAUGUACGUAGCGUGCAACAUCUGAAUAACAAAUUUUGCCAAUGCUUGAAUCUGUAUGUUUUAGUAUCUUAUGAGGCAAAAUGUCCACAAUGACAACUUCAAAUGUCAGUAAGCCUGCAAUUUGGUGUUAACAGCAUGUAAAAUAAAAAU